GCCAGCAUGACAUAGCGGUUUGAAUGUUGGACUAGGAUUUUGGAGAUCAGGGUUCGAAUCCCUGUUCGGCC
Molecule: non-coding RNA, 71 nt
Organism: Phrynosoma platyrhinos (Desert horned lizard)
Lineage: Eukaryota; Metazoa; Chordata; Lepidosauria; Squamata; Phrynosomatidae
Source: the annotation of a GenBank genome assembly